Molecule: ribosomal RNA, 117 nt
Filed under: Candidatus Zixiibacteriota bacterium
Lineage: Bacteria; Pseudomonadati; Candidatus Zixiibacteriota
Source: RNAcentral
UCCGGUGGCGAUAGCGCUGGGGCCACACCUGUUCCCAUUCCGAACACAGUAGUUAAGCCCAGCAACGCUGAUGGUACUGCUGGGGUAACCCAGUGGGAGAGUAGGACGCUGCCGGUU